Cherax quadricarinatus is the source of this 4412-nucleotide non-coding RNA. The record is from RefSeq and is a predicted model, not a curated record. NCBI's taxonomy places the organism in Eukaryota, Metazoa, Arthropoda, Malacostraca, Decapoda, Parastacidae.
GUAAUGCCUGACAUGCUGGUCUACAGGGUUCAGAUGCUGAGGAUGGUUCCAUUGCUGAAGCGAGCAGGGUAAUAGAGAAGAUAACGCAUCAGAGCUGCAGCACUUCAAGAAGUGAAAGCCCUUCAGAACUCUCAGAACACAAAAAGAAACACAGAAAGAGAGAGAAAGAAAAGAAGGAAGAUGAUAAAUCAGUUAAGAAGCAUAAGAAGAAAGGCAAGGAUAAAGAUAAGGAGAAAGAAAGGGAUAAAGGAGGUGACAAGAAGAAAAAGAAGAAGAAGAAAGAUAAAGAUAAGGAUGGUUCAGAAGAAUUCUUUGGUGGGUCACCUGAAAAGGAAUUUGAUGAGGCAUAUGAAGCUAUUUAAUCCAGCCAUUUUUCUUACAUAUAUAUGAGAGAGUGUACUUAAGAAACUCUUCCAUGCAUUUAUUUAAUGCCAUAGUAAACACUGCUGUAGAAGGGGAUUCAAAUAUUUAAUGACAUUUUGUAAUUUUAAUAUAAACAGGAUCUUUAAAUACUCUUGAUAUUUUGUAAUAUAAAAUAUAGAGUACCUGCUCAUAAUUUUCAUUACUGUUAUUUUCAGAGUUAACAUACUCUACUUGUUAAAUGCAGUAGUUAAUAAGUUGGUUAAUCUGUACCCGAAGAAAAUAUUUAAAAUGGUCUAAUUUUUAUUAGGAGUCAGAUUUCCUAUUAACUUUAUUAUUGUUGAUACGAUACUGCAUAUUUGAGAGUUAAUUCAAAUACUGUUUAUAGAAUGCUUAUAAAAUAUUGUUUAAGUUCCUGAGGUUACACUGUGUAGAAUUACAAUAUCAUGCAAUGUAGUACAGUGGAACCCUGAGUUCCAGCCAUAAUUUGUUCCAGAAGGCUGUUCGAGUGCCGUUACCGAAUGAAUUUGUUCCUAUAAGGAAUAAUGUGAAUUAGAUUAGUCCAUUUCAGACCCCCAAAAAUACACUUACAAAAGCACUUACAAUAAUACACUUGCAUAAUUGUUCGAGUUGGGAGGCGGCCAAAACUCUGGGUACCACUGUAUUUUGGUUAACUUUUUUAAUCCGGUCUUAAUUUAUUAGAGAUGCAUCUUGAUUUUCAUCAUGGUUUAGUGUAAUUUUGAUUGAGGUGUAGUUUGAUAUCAGUUAGUGUUGUAGCUAGUUAAGUGCAUUAUCCUCAGGGACGCUUCAGUUGCCACUUCUCACAAAAUGUGCAAAGGAUAUCCUUUACAGACUUUAAAAAAAAAAAAGUGGGAUUUUGUUACUAAGAAAGAUACUAGACUCUCAGAAUAUUUGAUAAUUGUAUCUAUCCAAAAGAAUUUAUAAUGAUAAAAUAUUAACAUCAGUCAUUGCUUGGCCAUCCAGGAAAAACAAUAAUCAUGCGGUACAAUAUUUGAGAAAAUUACCAUAUACAGUAUACUAAAGCAUAGGUUGAUCUCACGUAUAAGUCAACUCAUGACCUUUCUGCCAAAAACUUAAUUUUCAUGUAUCUCAUGUAUGAGUUAACUUUAGUUUUAAGAGGACAGUAAAAUAUUUGAUAAUUAAAGUACUGUACUGGAUAUUGUCCUCAAAUACCAUACAUUAAGACGUUCAAAAUGCACAUGGUAUGAAUAUGAGUUGCAUGUAGAUAUACAUGCAACUCAUAGCUGUACAUAAUCCUUUCGUUGGGGUACCUUAAUGCUGGUGAAGAGUUCUAUCCAAAGAAUUUAAAUUACCUUUCCUUUUUUAUGCUGUGCUGCAUAACCCUUGUAGGUUUAGCACUUUUUUUUAUUGUUAUUUUUUAUCAUUGUUCUUUUUUUAUAUCAAACCUGCUUGCAUUCCAGUUCCCAAGUGCUUUUUGACCUUCAGGGGUAUAGUUCUUCCUUAUGAAUAUAAUAAUAAUCUGUAUAAAUAUUGUACUUAUUAAAAAAAGGAAAGUAUCUCAGUCCGAUAUUGUCUCCUGUCAUAUUUUAACCUAACUCGCAUGUAUGAAAAUUAUGAAAUUAAAUGGAAACCAACUUCUAGAUAGUGUAGGUAAACUUUGUUAUAAUGAGGUAUAUACAUGUGGAUUUUGACCAUUUAAUUACAGUGCCUAUAAAUAAGUUAUCUCCUUAGUUUUUACCAAAAACUUGGUCUUAAAGCUUCACCUAUAUUCAGAUUUUUUAACAUCUCCAGAUAUAUACACUAAAGUGUUUUACUUAUCACCUGAACUGAACAAUUCAAUUUAUUCAGUUAUUAUUAUUGAUGGUAACAGCUGAAUCUAUAAGGGUCAUACAAUGCCUAGGAAUGGGAGGCUUGAUUGGAGGAAGGAGAGAGUAAUUUCUAUUCCCCUCCCUUGCCAGCCAGCAUCAGGGUACCUCCUAUUAAAGGAUUUGUGACAUUAACUGUAAAUAUAUAAACAUCUUUAUACUGCAACUAAAUACAGUAAUGGAUUUUCUUCCCUAACUUUAAGCCUGUAAUUAGGCCUAGUUUACAAAGUACACACUGCCAAUACUGAUUUUGACUUUAAACCCAUAGUUCUCCAAAUACAAAAGUGAAGCAAUUGAAAUUAAUCCUCCUUUUGCUAACAAGGCUUGUUGCUUUAAAAGUUUGUCUUCCCAUGAAAGGUAGAUGGAUUUGAUAUAGAGCAGAAUUCUCAACAUCCACAAACAAGUUUCUGCUUCUUUCAUAUUCCACUUUGGCUAACAUAAGUGGUUAUUUGCAUUGUUGUAAUUAGAAAAAUUAACUUUAGUAGUUCCAAAAGUGGCUCAUUAUUGGAAAUUAAUUUUCCAACUUUGUUUAUUAAGUCAGCAUUGAAAGUUUAAAAAUUUUACCUGUACAGUUACUUGUGAGGUACUUGGUGUGUUUUUCCUCAUUCAUUAUGCCUAGCUUCAUGCUUUACAGAAAAAGUUAAAGGUUGCAUUUCUUCUUCUUUCAACAAACCGGUCGUAUCCCACCUAAGCAGGUAGCCCCAAAAGAAAAACAAAAGUUUCUCUUUUUAACUUUAGUAAUGUAUACAUGGUAAGGGGUUAAUAGCCCCAUACUCCUGGCAUGUUAGUUGCCUCUUAUACCCUCCACCUGGAGGGCCCAAGAAAGAAGACAGAAGAAAGAAGAAGAUGAACGACACCCCCAACCGGUGGCCACAGCCGGGUCACCAUAUGGAGAAGACCCGGGCCGGAAGUACCAGCGAACCUCUAAUGAAUGAAUGAAUGUUGCCUCUUAUGAUAUGCAUGGCUUACGGAGGAAGAAUUCUCUUCCACUUCCCCAUGGAAAUAAGAGGAAAUAAACAAGAACUAGUGAAAAUAGACAUACCUGAAAUCUUGCGUGUUUCUUCUUCUUUCAACAUACCAGCCGUAUCUCACUGAGGUGGGGUGGCCCAAAAGGAAAAACGAAAGUUUCUCCCUUUAAAUUUAGUAAUAUAUACAGGAGAAGGGGCUACUAGCCCCUUGCUCCCGGCAUUUUAGUUGCCUCUUACAACACGCAUGGCUUACAGAGGAAGAAUUCUGUUCCACUUCCCCAUGGAAAUAAGAGGAAAUAAACAAGAACAAGAACUAGAAAGAAAAUAGAAGAAAACCCAGAGGGAUGUGUAUAUAUAUAUAUAUAUAUAUAUAUAUAUAUAUAUAUAUAUAUAUAUAUAUAUAUAUAUAUAUGCUUGUACUUGUAUGUGUAGUGUGACCUAAGUGUAAGUAGAAGCAAGACGUACCUGAAAUCUUGCAUGUUUAUGAGACAGAAAAAAAAGACCAGCAAUCCUGCCAUCAUGUAAAACGAUUACAGGCUUCCAUUUUACACUCGCUUGGCUGGACAGUAGUACCUCCCUGGGCGGUUGCUGUCUACCAACCUACUGCCUAUAAGAAGCUGCAUUUCUUCUUUCUUCUUUCAACACACUAGCCGUAUUCCACCAAGGCAGGGUGGCCCAAAAAGAAAAAUGAAAGUUUCUCUUUUAAAUUUAGUAAUUUAUGCGGGAGAAGGGGUUACUAGCCCCUUGCUCCCGGCAUUUUAGUCGCCUCUUACAACACGCAUGGCUUACGGAGGAAGAAUUCUGUUCCGCUUCCCCAUGGAGAUAAGAGGAAAUAAACAAGAACAAGAACUAGAAAGAAAAUAGAAGAAUACCCAGAGGGGUGUGUAUAUAUAUGCUUGUACAUGUAUGUGUAGUGUGACCUAAGUGCAAGUAGAAGUAGAAGACAUACCUGUAAUCCUGCAUAUUUAUGAGACAGACAAAAGACACCAGCAAUCCUACCAUCAUGUAAAACAAUUACAGGCUUUCGUUUUACACUCACUUGGCAGGACGGUAGUACCUCCCUGGGUGGUUGCUGUCUACCAACCUACUGCCUAUAAGAGGCUGCAUUUAUCUGUGUAAUUAUUUCAACUUUGGGGAGGGGAGGGUGAACUCUCAUGCUUGAGCCUGCCUCACAACUUGUUUUUUUAUUAAGUGACAUAUCUUUCUUCUUUCAACAAAUAUAUAUUAACAUAAAUUA